GGGGGAAGAGGGGGAGAUGGAGAGAGAGAAAUGGAGAUGGAGAAAGAGGGGGAGAGAUGGAGAGAGAGAGGGGGCUCUAUCCUCCCUGAAUGUUCUCUAACACCUGCCUCCACCUCUCUCUAUCCAGUUCUCUCUCUCUUUCUCUCUCUCUCUAUCCAGUUCUCUCUCUCUCUCUCUCUCUCUCUCUCUCUCUAACCAGUUCUCUCUCUAUCCAGUUCUCUCUCUAUACAGUUCUCUAUCUCUCUCUCUCUAUCCAGUUCUCCCUCUAUCCAGUUCUCUCUCUCUCUCUCUCUCUCUCUCUCUCUCUCUCUCUCUCUCUCUCUCUCUCUAUCCAGUUCUCUCUCUAUCCAGUUCUAUCUCUCUCUCUCUCUCUAUCCAGUUCUCUCUCUCUCUCUCUCUCUCUCUCUCUAUCCAGUUCUCUCUCUAUCCAGUUCUAUCUCUCUCUCUCUCUCUCUCUAUCCAGUUCUCUCUCUCUCUCUUUCCAGUUAUCUCUCUAUCCAGUUCUCUCUCUCUCUUUAUCCAGUUCUCUCUCUAUCCAGUUCUAUCUCUCUCUCUCUCUCUCUCUCUCUCUCUCUCUCUCUCUCUCUCUCUCUCUCUAUCCAGUUCUCUCUCUCUCUCUCUCUCUAUCCAGUUAUCUCUCUAUCCAGUUCUCUCUCUCUCUAUCCAGUUCUCUCUCUAUCCAGUUCUCUCUCUAUCCAGUUCUCUCUCUCUCUAUCCAGUUAUCUCUCUAUCCAGUUCUCUCUCUCUCUCUCUCUAUCCAGUUCUCUCUCUAUCCAGUUCUCUCUCUAUCCAGUUCUCUCUCUCUCUCUCUAUCCAGUUAUCUCUCUAUCCAGUUCUCUCUCUAUCCAGUUCUCUCUCUAUCCAGUUCUAUCUCUCUCUCUCUCCUCAGACAGUUUGACACACACAAGUUUUCUCCGCUUCAGUCUCUGAUGAACGUGUGUUUUGUAUCACUAAUAUUUAGUCAAUUGGAAGCGCAGUGCAGAGGAGACAGUGGACGUGCUGUAAGAGAUGCUUGGUGGUGUUCAGCUCUGGCUUCUGUUCAUCCAUUAGAUACCUGCAUGUCGUGCUUUAUUGGUGUCAGAAUCAACCUCUGGUUAUGUGUUGGACCGGGCAUCUUUCUCUCUCUGGUGUAUCACUGCUGGAGUCUGAGUCAGUGGGAUGUUUUAGGUUGAGUGAGUCAGUGGGAUGUUUUAGGUUGAGUGAGUCAGUGGGAUGUUUUAGGUUGAGUGAGUCAGUGGGAUGUUUUAGGUUGAGUGAGUCAGUGGGAUGUUUUAGGUUGAGUGAGUCAGUGGGAUGUUUUAGGUUGAGUGAGUCAGUGGGAUGUUGAGUGGAGAGACUGUAUUUAAUCGACUGAAUGAAUGAACCCAGAGGUCCACCCGAAAAUAAGGGAGUAGAAAACAACAUCACCACAGAGGAUAACAUAACCAGAGGAGCUGCUUUCUGUCAUAUUUUUUGUGCUUUUCUAUUUGAAGACUGGAGCCAUGCUUUUGUUAUUUAAUCCAGGAAGUUUAUUUAGUUUCAAUAACAUCUGUUUUGUUGUGAUUUUGCUUCCGCGUCCUACCCACUGACCACCUCAAUCUAGCAAUUAAACAAACAAUCAAAACACUUUGACUGAUAUGCUGACCACCUCUCUACUGAGCCCCUAAAGUUACUGAUGAAGUAGAGGUCAGAAAGUGUCAGGUCUCACUUCUAACCUUUCAGUUUGACCCUUGAACUUUGACAUAUGAUGUCCUGUAGAUUUUGAAAGCCCUUCAUAUCGCACAUAUCGCUGCUAACAUAUCGCACAGCUAGUGGCUUGCACAUUUCAAACCUGCCACACUGAUAGGGAAUACUGCACAAGAAACUCCCGUAUAGAAGAUUCAACUACACUGAACAGAAAUACAAAACACAACAUACACAAACAUUCAAAGAUUUUACUGAGUAACAGUUCAUAUAAAGAAAUCAAUCAAUUUAAAUCCAUUUGUUAUGCCCUGAUAUAUGGAUUUCAUGGCUGGGAAUACAGAUAUGCAUCUGAUCACAGAUACCUUGGUCUGCAGUUGGAUAUACUGAGGCCGGUUGGACAUACUGCCAAAUUCUAACAAACGACUUUGGAGGAGACUUGUGGUAGAGAAAUUAACAUUCAAUUCUCUGGCAACAGCUCCGGUGGACAUUCCUGCGGUCAGAAUGCCAAUUGCACGUUCCCUCAACAGCACAUUUUAGAGUGGCCUUUUGUCCCCUGCACAAGGUGUAUCUAUGUAAUGAUCAUGCUGUUUAAUCAGCUUCUUGAUAUGCCACACCUGUCAGGUGAAUGUAUUUUCCUGGCAGAGGAGAACUGCUCACUAACAGGGAUGUCAACAGAUUUAUUAUGAGAAGAACAAAAAUGCGUAAAAAGUUUUUUGUGCGUAAAGAACAUUUCUGGGAUCUGUUAUUUCCACUCAUGAAACAUGGGACCAAAUCUUUACAUGUUGUGUUUAUAUUUUAUUCAGUGUAGACACCCUGUGGGGUUGUACCUCACCGUAGGUCAGUGUAGACACCCUGUGGGGUUGUACCUCACCGUAGGUCAGUGUAGACACCCUGUGUACCUCACCGUAGGUCAGUGUAGACACCCUGUGUACCUCACCGUAGGUCAGUGUAGACACCCUGUGGGGUUGUACCUCACCGUAGGUCAGUGUCCAUUACCAGCCCCUUCACGCAGGCCUUCUUAGGGAGACAUCAUAGCACUUGAUUUGUUUUAUUCACCUGUUUCUAAUUCUGGUGUUUUUUAGUGUUGCUCUCUCAUUCUGGCUGCACCUCCCUAACCUCUGACCCUAAUCUCUGACCCUAACCUCUGACCCUGUAUCGUGUUCUACAGAAGCCAGGGAACCAUUUGGUCUGUAGGGUGAGGUGCUACUUUAGAAUUAUGUUAUUCAAAUAUACAAAUAAAAGUUAUUUGAAUUAUGAAACAAUUGAAGGAAUAUUGAAUGAGCCUUGGAGAUAAUGUGGAUUUGUUAGUUUCAGGUGGUGUGUGAGUUUUGAGUGAUUAUAAUGCGAAGGGAGUUAGAAUUACGGUCUUAUCUGUACUUGGCUAGUUUGGUCUGCUCUAAACCACGCCCUCUCUGAGAUCUUUAUAAUGUUUAUCAAACUUGUUUAGAAGUUUAUGGUUUACAUCAACGUCCUCCAUCUUGUCAGAAAGCUGUUCUCACCCACAGAGCAAAAGCCAACACUUGUAUUACAAUAUGCCUGAUGUUACGGGUUCAUCUCUCUGGCCAAACAGCUCUGUAAUCUCCCUCUGUGGAACAGUCCUGUGUCCCUGUAGGUUUAGUUUAUUGUCCCCCUUUUUUUUGGUAUCUAUUUUGUUUUGAUUUGGAGAUGGUUCCGAGCUGCUAAAUCAGUGUAGUUGAACAACAGGCCUUCUCUUCUGACUCUUGCCACGGUGACAACAUUGAGAACAGGUGAAAAAUCCUUUCUGCAUAUUAUUAUUAGCUGUAAAAAAAAAAAAAUAUACAUGUAUUUAUUGUGUACAAAAAGUUCAAUAAUAAAACGGAUGGAAAAAUUCA
Molecule: long non-coding RNA, 3515 nt
Organism: Oncorhynchus masou masou (cherry salmon)
Lineage: Eukaryota; Metazoa; Chordata; Actinopteri; Salmoniformes; Salmonidae
Exons: 2
Source: RefSeq, a predicted model, not a curated record